CACAAAUACUUCCAAUACUUCCUUGUACUAUAACAAGAAAAGAAAUCGUCACAAGUGUUUUCUCUUUACUCGGUGUAAAUAAUGAAAAAUAUCAUAAAUUGUAUGUUCAGACUGAUAAUGUAUACUUUUUUCCAUCUCUCCACUAAUAACAACCAUUUAUACUUUCCAUUAACCCAUUUAGUUAGAUACAAUGAACAUUUAAACAAUUAGUGACUAUGAUGUAAGCUGAGACAGUGCAUGUCGACACCCCUAUUGUCUCAAACCGGACAAACUGGAUCAGGUUCACUUUGACUCCUAUAACAUCCCCAGCAAACACUUCGCUGACUUCACUCCAAACCAGCUGCUAAUUCCACCACUGUUAGGACUAGAUUUCACGACGUUUGUUGAUCUGUCCACCUGAAGGAAAGAUGAACUCCACGUGCAAGACUUUGAUCGUCUUCAGCAUCUUCAUCGCAGCAGCUUAUGGCCUGAAGUGUAAGCAGUGCGCCAUCGGGACGUUUGGGACAUGCUUUUUUGGAUCUGAAGUCACUUGUAACAACGCCACCCAGAGCUGCUACAAAGGAGACGCCCGUAAGGCAUUCUAUACUAAGAUUUAUCUUUUUCUUACUAAAUUAAGUACAUUUUUGUCAAAUAAUAUAUCUGUAAAUGCCUUAGCACCGGUUAGUCCUGAUGAUACAAGAGGGAAUUAGGAAUAGAUGUUUUUGUACAUCUUUUUAGGCAAUGAAGAAGAAACUUAAAACUCUGAAGGCCAUCAUCAUUUAAUCAAUAAAGUAAAAGUUGUGCUGAAUGACUGCUGAAUAGGUGGUAAAUCAUUGGCAGAUAAUGGGCAUCACUAUCAGUUCAAGUAAUUACAAUUUGUAAACUUAUAUGAUCAGAGUGGUCCGACUUCAGAUAAGAGAUGAAGACAACAAUGGAGAAGUGUCUGAUGAUAAAUUGAACUAGUGCAUCAAUGACGUGAACGUUUGCUAUUGGUCACAGCCUUCAAUAUACUAACAUUAUUUAGAAUUAUUAUUAGUUUAGAUUAUUAACUUCGCCG
This 1036-nucleotide long non-coding RNA is filed under the name Neogobius melanostomus (round goby). RNAcentral's name for it is "lncRNA (ENSNMLG00000027134.1)". The record is from RNAcentral. Lineage: Eukaryota; Metazoa; Chordata; Actinopteri; Gobiiformes; Gobiidae.